Molecule: ribosomal RNA, 621 nt
Filed under: Aeromonas sp. B4
Lineage: Bacteria; Pseudomonadati; Pseudomonadota; Gammaproteobacteria; Aeromonadales; Aeromonadaceae
Description: bacterial SSU rRNA
Rfam family: Bacterial small subunit ribosomal RNA
Source: RNAcentral
UGGGUUUUUCGGGGAUUUCUGGGGGCGUAAAGCGCACGCAGGCGGUUGGAUAAGUUAGAUGUGAAAGCCCCGGGCUCAACCUGGGAAUUGCAUUUAAAACUGUCCAGCUAGAGUCUUGUAGAAGGGGGUAGAAUUCCAGGUGUAGCGGUGAAAUGCGUAGAGAUCUGGAGGAAUACCGGUGGCGAAGGCCGCCCCCUGGACAAAGACUGACGCUCAGGUGCGAAAGCGUGGGGAGCAAACAGGAUUAAAUACCCUGGUAGUCCACGCCGUAAACGAUGUCCAUUUGGAGGCUGUGUCCUUGAGACGUGGCUUCCGGAGCUAACGCGUUAAAUCGACCGCCUGGGGAGUACGGCCGCAAGGGUAAAACUCAAAUGAAUUGACGGGGGCCCGCAAAACGGUGGAACAUGUGGUUUAAUUCAUGCAACCCGAAAACCUUACCUGGCCUUUGAAUGCUGGAUCCUGUAAAAUUCGGGAGUGCCUUCGGAACAGAAACAGGUGCUGCAUGGCUGUCUCAGCUCGUGUCCUGAGUUGUGGGUAAGUCCCGCAACGAGCGCACCCUUGUCUUUGUUGCCAACACGUAAAUGGGGGGACUCAGGGAAACUGCCGGUGAAUAACCGGAGA